GAUGAAGAACGUAGCGAAAUGCGAUAAGUAAAGUGAAUUGCAGAAUUCAGUGAAUCAUCGAAUCUUUGAACGCACCUUGCGCCUUUUGGUAUUCCGAAAGGCACACCUGUUUGAGCGUCAUGAAUACCUCAAUCUCCAUCUUUUCUUCGGAUUGAUGGGUGACUUGGAUGUUGAGCCCUGCUGGUAUGCUAUAUCAGCUGGCUUUAAACUUAUUAGCCGGCUCUGUACUGGAUCGGUUUGACUCGACGUGAUAAUAUUAUCGUUGAGGAUGCAUGUCUCAUGCAGCCGGAAAGUAUCAAAGCAGCUUCUAGCUUGCCUUUAGUGCACUUUUACAUUUUAGACCUCAGAUCAGGUGGGACUACCCGCUGAACUUAAGCAUAUCAAUAAGCGGAGGA
Molecule: unclassified non-coding RNA, 395 nt
Filed under: soil metagenome
Description: partial contains 5.8S ribosomal RNA, internal transcribed spacer 2, and large subunit ribosomal RNA
Rfam family: 5.8S ribosomal RNA (bases 1-120)
Source: RNAcentral